AUUGAACGCUGGCGGCAUGCCUUACACAUGCAAGUCGAACGGCAGCACGGGAGCAAUCCUGGUGGCGAGUGGCGAACGGGUGAGUAAUAUAUCGGAACGUGCCCAGUCGUGGGGAUAACGUAGCGAAAGCUACGCUAAUACCGCAUACGAUCUAUGGAUGAAAGCGGGGGAUCGCAAGACCUCGCGCGAUUGGAGCGGCCGAUAUCAGAUUAGGUAGUUGGUGAGGUAAAGGCUCACCAAGCCGACGAUCUGUAGCUGGUCUGAGAGGACGACCAGCCACACUGGGACUGAGACAGGCCCAGACUCCUACGGAGGCAGCAGUGGGGAAUAUUGGACAAUAGGGCGAAAGCCUGAUCCAGCAAUGCCGCGUGAGUGAUGAAGGCCUUAGGGUUGU
This 394-nucleotide ribosomal RNA is filed under the name uncultured bacterium. RNAcentral describes it as "bacterial SSU rRNA". It matches the Rfam family "Bacterial small subunit ribosomal RNA", at positions 30 to 426 of the family's 1533-position model. The record is from RNAcentral.